RNAcentral lists this ribosomal RNA (356 nucleotides) under uncultured bacterium. Its description in RNAcentral is "bacterial SSU rRNA". It matches the Rfam family "Bacterial small subunit ribosomal RNA", at positions 42 to 412 of the family's 1533-position model. The record is from RNAcentral.
UCAGGCCUAACACAUGCAAGUCGAGCGGGGUUUUCGGACCUAGCGGCGGACGGGUGAGUAAUGCGUAGGAAGCUACCCGAUAGAGGGGGAUACCAGUUGGAAACGACUGUUAAUACCGCAUAAUGUCUACGGACCAAAGUGUGGGACCUUCGGGCCACAUGCUAUCGGAUGCGCCUACGUGGGAUUAGCUAGUUGGUGAGGUAAUGGCUCACCAAGGCGACGAUCUCUAGCUGGUUUGAGAGGAUGAUCAGCCACACUGGAAGUGAGACACGGUCCAGACUCCUACGGGAGGCAGCAGUGGGGAAUAUUGGACAAUGGGCGCAAGCCCGAUCCAAAGAUGCCGCGUGUGUGAAGAA